GACGAACGCUGGCGGCGUGCUUAACACAUGCAAGUCGAACGGAAAGGCCCUGCCUUUGUGGGGUGCUCGAGUGGCGAACGGGUGAGUAACACGUGAGUAACCUGCCCUUGACUUUGGGAUAACUUCAGGAAACUGAGGCUAAUACCGGAUAGGAGCUCCUGCUGCAUGGUGGGGGUUGGAAAGUUUCGGCGGGUGGGGAUGGACUCGCGGCUUAUCAGCUUGUUGGUGGGGUAGUGGCUUACCAAGGCUUUGACGGGUAGCCGGCCUGAGAGGGUGACCGGCCACAUUGGGACUGAGAUACGGCCCAGACUCCUACGGGAGGCAGCAGUGGGGAAUAUUGCACAAUGGGCGGAAGCCUGAUGCAGCAACGCCGCGUGCGGGAUGACGGCCUUCGGGUUGUAAACCGCUUUCGCCUGUGACGAAGCGUGAGUGACGGUAAUGGGUAAAGAAGCACCGGCUAACUACGUG
This 468-nucleotide ribosomal RNA is filed under the name uncultured bacterium. RNAcentral's name for it is "partial 16S ribosomal RNA". It matches the Rfam family "Bacterial small subunit ribosomal RNA", at positions 28 to 507 of the family's 1533-position model. The record is from RNAcentral.